Molecule: long non-coding RNA, 2562 nt
Organism: Ctenopharyngodon idella (grass carp)
Lineage: Eukaryota; Metazoa; Chordata; Actinopteri; Cypriniformes; Xenocyprididae
Exons: 2
Source: RefSeq, a predicted model, not a curated record
AAAUGUGUUUAUACUUGUGAUUUAGACAAAUGGAAUAAUCUGUGAAGCAAAGACUACAACAACCUGCUAUUUAAUGGAAACAUUUGAAGAGCAAGGAGUGGAUGAAAGUUUUAUGCUGCUGGAUGACAGUGGUUCUCAACUGUGGUCCUAGAGUAUCCCCAGCAAUACACAUUUUGGAUGAUUUCCUUAUCUGACACCCUUUUCCGGCCUUGGAGUCUCUCUACUAACAAGCUGGUAAAUUGAAUCAGGAUUAGAGAGACAAAAUGUGAAGUGCUAGGGCUACUACAGAGCCAGGUUGUUUGGGAAACACUAGGGUACAGUUUAUUACUCUUGUUUGGUUUUUUUUCUCAGUUGUCUUUAUUCGUUUUAAUACAUUAUGUUUUAAUUUAAACAGUAUCCAAGUUGUUUGAUGACUGACAACGAUUUAGUAUCAAAAAAAAUGCAAGAAGUCCUCACAGCCAAGCUAAUGUGUUCAUUAGACAUACAACACCUCAACAAACUGCAUGGAUUUGAUCCUUUGGAACAAAAACUGGAAUGGUGAGUUUAAUGAUGUUCAGAAUAGUGAAGGGUUGUUUUAUUUUGGGAAAAAAUGUAUUGGCCAUGUCUAAGUGCAUGUGAAAUUUGUCCACACACACGUGGUAUAAAUUAAAGUUUUUAAAGAUGGUCAUGGAGAAACUGCCUACUGUCCUGCCAUCAUCGCCAUGCCUCACAAAUGGGAAAAUGGUGCUGAAAUGAAGCGCAGCUUAACUGACAUUCAGCCUGUAAGUAAAAGCAACACUGCAAAAUUAGCUUUGAUAAAUUACACUGCUCUGUAAACAUAUGGAUCCAUUUCUCCUUUCCUUUAGUGAUUCUGCUUGUUCAUAGGUUAGUUCACCCAAAAAUGAAAAUUCUGUCAUUAAUUUCUCAUUCACUCAUCUUUGGAACACAGAUCAAAUUCUUUUUAAAGAAAUCAGAGAAAUUUCUGUCCCUCUAUUGACAGCAUCCUUCAUAUCUCUGAAAAGUCUUUAGUUUUAUCAUAUUUAUAAAAGAUAGAUAUUCUGUACUGAGUCUUUCCACAAAAGCCAAGCUCCUGGAGGCGUGCCUGCCGUGGGCAGAACUAAAGAGUCAUGAGCGCGCAGCUUUUGCGUAGAGAUCGUCUGCAAGCUGCAACAUCAUUAUAAAUAAAAAGGGAACAAAAACUUUCGUGUCGUUUACAUUAUAUGCACUUGAGUGGCGAUUGCCAAUAAAACACAGACAUUUGAUGCAGUUUUACUCACCGCCUGCGAUCUGGGACUUGUUUACAAAGCAUUCAUCACCGAAAUCAAACAUACAUGCUUCAUACAACUCGUGUUUUGAAACUUUGGUCAUGUUUAGCAUGAGAAUGCAAAUCUUUAGCUGUGUAAAUAAGUCAGAAUUUAAUUUAAUGACUUUUUUUUUUUUUUUUUGAGGUGAACUAACCCUUUAACAGCAGUUGUAAUUCAGUGACCAUAUUUUAAUUUAGUACAGCACUGCUUCAGUGUAACUUUUACUUAAUUUAACACUGCUUAUGUUGUCACAGUGCAUGCCAACUGAACUUUAUUUAUUUUUUGAAGGUUGGCACUAAUAUGGCGCAUUACCUGAGCAGUGAGACAAGUUGGGAUCCACAUGACUUGAUGCCUUGAGGACAAAGAGAACUGCCAAGUUUUUUUUUUUUUUUUUUUUUUUAAUAACAUUAUUUUUUCAUUGUGGCACUGAACAGAAGAUCUUAUUUUAAACUAUGCAUGUAUAUUUUAAUUUUUAUUUUUUUAUUUAUUUUUUUAACAUAUAUGAAAUACUGUUCAAAGCCUUCUGCUCCCAUUUAGGAGGUUUUGUAGCAUGCAAACUUUAAUAUACAGUAGUAGUACAUUUGAAGUGGAUCAAAAAAGUUCAUCAAAGUUGUCCUAAAAACUAAGUUGUCCUAAGAAGAAGGUUUUAGGGACAACUUUGAUCCACUUCAAAUGUUGACUAGUUGAAAGUGUUGAAAGGUUUUGAUCCACUUCAAAUGUUGACUAGUGUAUUAAGAGGGGUUCCCUCAACACUUUGCUGCCUCCUUAAGAACUUUGAUCAUCAUCAUUAGGUCCAACAUAUUUGUGGUUUUAUUACUUAAGGUAUGUUUACAACACAUCAAUGCAUGCAAUCUACAGUGUUGACUUUUCAUUAAAGAUAUGUUUAUUUAUUGAAGAAUUUAAUGUUAUGAAUUUAUGUGUACUCGUAGUUUUUCAUUUAGUGUUCAUUUUGUAUUUGUGUGUUCUGUAUGUACAUUUUAUGUAUGUUUUGAGUUUACUCUACAUGGUUGUGAAGGUUUUAAAUAUAGCUUUUAAUUGUGUACUGUUUGUACAAAUUUAUAGGUUUGAAUUUAAUAUUUGUACUGUACACUUGUGUAGGUUUAAAUGUAGUGUUCAUUUUGAAUUUUUGUGUGUUCUGUAUACAUAUUUUAUUUAUGUUUUGAGUUUAUGCUGUACAUGUUUGUGUAGGUUUUGAAUGUGUAUUGUUUGUACAAAUUUGCAUAGGUUUUGAAUUGAUGUAUGUACACUUACGAUAUUUACAUUAAAUGACUCCACAAUA